RNAcentral lists this ribosomal RNA (445 nucleotides) under uncultured bacterium. Its description in RNAcentral is "partial 16S ribosomal RNA". It matches the Rfam family "Bacterial small subunit ribosomal RNA", at positions 354 to 796 of the family's 1533-position model. The record is from RNAcentral.
GUGAGGAAUAUUGGUCAAUGGGCGGGAGCCUGAACCAGCCAAGUCGCGUGAAGGAAGAAGGAUCUAUGGUUCGUAAACUUCUUUUGCAGGGGAAUAAAGUGCAGGACGUGUCCUGUUUUGUAUGUACCCUGAGAAUAAGGAUCGGCUAACUCCGUGCCAGCAGCCGCGGUAAUACGGAGGAUCCGAGCGUUAUCCGGAUUUAUUGGGUUUAAAGGGUGCGUAGGUGGUUUGAUAAGUCAGCGGUGAAAGUUUGCAGCUUAACUGUAAAAAUGCCAUUGAAACUGUCGGACUUGAGUGUAAAUGAGGUAGGCGGAAUGCGUGGUGUAGCGGUGAAAUGCAUAGAUAUCACGCAGAACUCCGAUUGCGAAGGCAGCUUACUAAGCUACAACUGACACUGAAGCACGAAAGCGUGGGGAUCAAGCAGGAUUAGAAACCCCAGUAGUCC